GCCGGAAUCUUCUUCCUCACCUCGUCAGCAAUGACGAUUCAUGGUUUUAAAAGGGUUUUUGUCUUCAACUUCGACCGGGGCAGGAGGAGGAGGAGAACGAAGCAUCGAAAUCAUCAGAUCAGAUCGAACCUUUUCUCCAUCCAUUCAUCUCCCUCCAAUAGAAAUCGCAUGUGGAUUGAGGAGUGAUUGGAUUAUGUGUUUAGAAGUGCAGAAAACAAUGGGGUUUAAGCCAUUACUUUGGUAUUGUAAGCCUGUGGAGAAUGGGGUGUGGGCGAAAGUUGUGACAAAUGCAUUUGGUGUUUAUACGCCUUGUGGAAUUGAUACUUUGGUGAUUUCGUUUACGCAUUUAGUUCUUUUCAGUCUCUGCGUGUAUCGAAUAUGGAAAACGAUAAAGGAUGUUACGGUCAAGAGGUUGAUGCUGAGAUCGAAUUACUUCAAUUACUUUUUGGGGGUUUUAGCUGCUUAUUGUGUUGGGGAGCCAUUGUAUCGGUUGGUUACGGGCAUGUCAGUUUUGAAUGUUGAUGGACAAUCUGCACUGGCUCCAUAUGAGAUGUUUUCUCUUGCCAUUGAGGCUCUUGCGUGGUGCUCAAUGCUGGUUAUGCUUGUUCUAGAAACUAAAAUCUACAUCCGCGAAUUCCGUUGGUAUGUUCGAUUUGGAGUCAUUUAUGUGCUAGUAGGGGAUGUUGUUAUGCUUAAUCUUGUCCUCUCUGUGAAAGAAUACCAAAAUCCAUCUAUAUUAUAUGUCUACACCAGUCAAAUUGUUUGCCAGAUCUUAUUUGGAGUUCUAUCAGUUCUAUACCUUCCUAACGUGGAUCCAUAUCCGGGAUACACUCCGAUAAGGGAAGAGUUUGUUGAUAACACAGAGUAUGAAUCACUUCCUGAUGGAGAGCAGAUUUGUCCAGAGAGGCAUGUGAAUAUUAUUUCCAAUAUACUCUUCUCGUGGAUGACACCCCUCAUGCAGAAAGGUUAUAGCAGACCCAUAACUGAGAAGGAUGUGUGGAGAUUAGAUACAUGGGACCAGACUGAGACACUGAAUGCCAAAUUCCAGAGCUGCUGGCUUAAGGAAUCCCAAAAACCCAGGCCAUGGUUGUUGAGAGCUCUAAAUAGUAGUCUUGGAGGAAGGUUCUGGUUGGGAGGUUUCUUUAAGAUUGGAAAUGAUCUUUCUCAAUUUGUGGGGCCCGUCAUGCUUAAUCUCCUCUUACAGUCUAUGCAAGCAGGGGAGCCAGCUAGGAUUGGCUACAUCUAUGCUUUCUUAAUUUUUGUCGGAGUGGUCCUAGGGGUGCUUUCUGAAGCUCAAUAUUUCCAGAAUGUCAUGCGUGUGGGUUAUCGCCUAAGAGCAACAUUGGUUGCUGCUGUGUUUCGCAAAUCAUUGAGAUUAACACAUGAAGGGCGCAGGAAGUUCCCUUCUGGAAAAAUUACCAACUUGAUGACCACAGAUGCCGAAGCUCUUCAGCAAAUAUGCCAACAGCUAAACAGUUUAUGGUCAGCGCCAUUCCGUAUCAUCAUUUCCAUGGUUCUUCUGUACAAUGAACUUGGUGUUGCUUCGCUGUUAGGUUCUUUGAUGCUGGUCUUGAUGUUUCCUUUACAGGCCUUUGUGGUAAGCAAAAUGCAAAAGUUGUCUAAGGAGGGUCUUCAACGUACUGACAAGAGAAUCGGUUUUAUGAGUGAAAUUUUGGCUGCAAUGGACACUGUCAAAUGCUAUGCAUGGGAGGGGAGCUUCCAAUCUAAAAUUCAAGGCGUCCGUGAUGAUGAGCUCUCGUGGUUCCGAAAAGCCCAACUACUAUCAGCGUGUAAUAUGUUCCUCUUGAACAGCAUUCCAGUUGUGGUUACUGUGAUCUCAUUUGGGAUGUUCACUUUGCUUGGUGGGGAUUUAACACCAGCGAGGGCAUUUACAUCACUUUCGCUGUUCGCAGUGUUAAGAUUCCCUUUAUUCAUGCUUCCUAAUUUGAUAACACAGGUUGUAAAUGCAAAUGUGUCGCUGAAACGUCUUGAGGAAUUAUUCUUAGCUGAAGAGAGACUUCUUAUGCCUAACCCACCACUUGAGCCAAGUCUUCCAGCUAUUUCAAUCAAGAAUGGCACCUUUUCCUGGGAUUCGAAGGCAGAGAAGCCCACAUUAUCAAAUAUCAAUUUAGAGAUACCUGUUGGUAGCCUGGUGGCUGUUGUUGGCAGUACCGGUGAAGGAAAAACGUCACUGAUAUCGGCGAUGCUUGGGGAACUACCUCCAGCUGCAGAUGUAGAUGCCGAGGUUGUUGUUCGAGGAACCGUUGCUUAUGUUCCACAGGUUUCAUGGAUCUACAAUUCAACAGUACGGGACAACAUAUUGUUUGGGUCUCCAUUCAUAGCUGCACGCUAUGAGAAAGCAAUAGAUGUGACUGCAUUGCAACAUGACUUUGAAGUACUCACUGGUGGUGACCUCACAGAGAUUGGAGAAAGAGGUGUGAAUAUUAGUGGUGGGCAAAAGCAAAGAGUCUCCAUGGCUAGGGCAGUCUACUCCAGUUCUGAUGUUUACAUAUUUGAUGACCCUUUAAGUGCUCUAGAUGCUCAUGUUGGUCGCCAGGUUUUUGAUAAAUGUAUCAAAGAAGAAUUGCAAGGCAGAACCAGAGUGCUUGUCACAAACCAACUCCAUUUUCUUCCCCAGGUGGACAGAAUUCUUCUGGUUCAUGAUGGUAUGGUGAAAGAGGAAGGAACAUUUGAGGAACUAACAAAUAAUGGGAUAUUGUUUCAAAGCCUAAUGGAAAAUGCGGGCAAGAUGGAGGAGCAUGUAGAAGAAAAGAAAGACCUUGAGAUACCUGAGGAAAAGGGUCCUCCAACCAAUGGUGAAGUGAAUGGGAUGCCAAAGAGUGUUAGUCAAACAACUAAAGGGGGAAAAGGCAAGACCGUGCUUGUCAAGCAAGAGGAACGAGAAACAGGUGUCGUCAGUUGGAAUGUUCUGAUGAGGUAUAAGAAUGCAUUAGGAGGCUUAUGGGUUGUUAUGAUCCUCUUUUCCUGCUAUGUGUCAACUGAAGUUCUCCGAAUAUUGAGUAGUACGUGGUUGAGUGCGUGGACUGAUAGGAGCACCGCCAAAACCCACGGCCCAGGCUUCUACAAUUUGGUUUAUGCUUUGCUCUCUUUUGGUCAGGUCCUAAUCAGCUUGACAAACUCUUAUUGGUUGAUCAUAUCAAGUCUUUACGCUGCCAAAAGAUUGCAUGAUGCGAUGCUACACUCUAUACUGCGAUCUCCAAUGUUAUUUUUCCACACUAAUCCAAUUGGGCGGGUAAUCAAUAGAUUCGCGAAGGAUCUGGGUGACAUAGAUCGAAAUGUUGCUAUAUACGUGAAUAUGUUUUUCACCCAAGGAUUUCAGCUCAUUUCUACAUUUGUGCUGAUAGGCAUCGUGAGCACCAUAUCCUUGUGGGCGAUAAUGCCACUCCUGAUCGUGUUUUAUUCAGCCUAUCUAUAUUAUCAGAGCACAUCACGUGAAGUAAAACGGUUAGAUUCCAUUUCAAGAUCUCCUGUCUAUGCACAAUUUGGAGAAGCUUUAAAUGGUCUAUCAACCAUUCGUGCAUACCAAGCCUAUGAUCGGAUGUCUAAAAUUAAUGGGAAAUCGAUGGACAAUAAUAUCAGAUACACCCUUGUAAACAUGAGCGCUAACCGCUGGCUUGGUAUCCGUUUGGAAACCGUGGGAGGCCUGAUGAUUUGGUUAACAGCAACUUUUGCUGUCAUGCAAAAUGAGCGGGCGGUGGACCAAGUGGCAUUUGCAUCUUCAAUGGGUCUUCUUCUUAGUUAUGCCUUAAAUAUAACAAACCUGUUGACAAGUGCUCUUAGAUUAGGAAGUCUGGCUGAGAACAGUCUAAAUGCUGUGGAAAGGGUAGGCACGUAUAUUGAUUUACCUUCAGAGGCUCCGGCUGUUAUUGAGAGCAACCGACCCCCACCAGGAUGGCCUUCUUCAGGAUCAAUCAAGUUUGAGGAUGUUGUCUUGAGGUACAGGGCUGAACUUCCUCCUGUCCUGCAUGGCUUGUUUUUCACAAUCUCUCCCAGCGAGAAGGUUGGAAUAGUUGGGAGAACUGGCGCUGGGAAAUCUAGUAUGCUCAAUGCUUUAUUUCGAAUAGUUGAAUUGGAAAGAGGAAGAAUCUUGAUUGAUGGUUAUGAUGUUGCGAAGUUUGGUCUAACAGAUCUGCGUAAAGUACUCGGAAUUAUUCCACAGUCUCCAGUUCUCUUCUCAGGAACUGUCCGAUUUAAUCUUGAUCCUUUUAAUGAGCACAAUGAUGCUAACCUUUGGGAGGCUUUAGAGAGAGCACAUCUGAAGGAUGUCAUUAGAAGAAACUCUUUAGGUCUUGAUGCUGAGGUUACAGAAUCGGGGGAAAAUUUCAGUGUAGGACAGAGGCAACUGUUGAGUCUUGCCCGUGCGCUUUUACGGAGAUCUAAGAUACUUGUUCUUGAUGAAGCAACAGCAGCUGUUGAUGUUAGAACUGAUGCUCUUAUCCAGAAAACUAUUAGAGAAGAAUUUAAAUCAUGUACCAUGCUCAUUAUUGCUCACCGACUGAAUACCAUAAUCGACUGCGAUCGUGUUCUCCUCCUUGAUGCUGGCCAGGUUUCAGAAUUUGAUACCCCAGAAGAACUUUUGUCAAAUGAUGAGAGCUCUUUCUCUAAGAUGGUCCAAAGUACAGGUGCUGCAAAUGCGGAAUACUUACGUAGCUUGGUCAUUAGUAGUAGAACAGGUAAAGAAGAGGCGAGAAGGCAAGAUGGGCAUAGAAGAUGGUUGGCUUCUUCUCAAUUUGCUGCUGCUGCCCAGUUGGCUCUUGGAGUUAGCCUCAGUUCUUCACUCAAUGAUCUGGAAGACUUGGAAAUUGAAGACGAUAACAAUAUCGUCAAGAGAACGAAGGACGCCGUCAUCACUUUGCAGGGAGUUUUGGAAGGAAAGCAUGAUAAAUCUAUUGAAGAGACGCUAGAUCAACACCAGGUUCCUAGAGAUAGAUGGUGGUCUGCUCUUUACAGAAUGGUCGAAGGGCUUUCCACGAUGAGCAAGUUGAGCCGCAACAAGCUUCAACAAUCAGAUUACGGGUUUGAGGACAGGCAGAUUAAUUGGGACCAUGUUGAGAUGUAAUAAAUAAGGCACUGAUUUUUUUUCUUCAAGAUCAGAUGGUUCAAUGGCUUUAUUCUUCAGUUCCCAAAUGAAGAGCGCACUACGUUUGAUCAUGGGAUUGUAAACUCUUUCUGAAUCUGAUAUGUUUUCUGUCUCGAAACUGUGGUGAGGCGGAUAACUUGCUUGUGAUUAAAUUUUGUGGGCUGAAAAGUGUGAAAGCUUGCACUUGUGUUGUAUUGCAAAUCCGAAUUUAGCUUGGUUAUACCCACAACAAAUCCGAAUUAAAAAAUUUCUAUUUACUCGUCCUUAGUUCAAAAAAGAAAAGACCUAUUUGGAUUAUCCACAGCAAAUCCGAAUUUAGCUUAUUUUAAUUAAAACUCAAGACAGAUGUUAAUUCGGUUUCAAUCUGGCGCACCCAAAUUAGACACCUACAUACGAGCUGCCUACUUUUGAAAUUCUUGAAAUCUGUGGCAUCCUUAAAGGUUGUCGGCCACUCGUUUUAGUGGUGAUGUGUCCCGACUCCCGCAUUCUCUAGAAUGAUCGGUCCCCGAUAUUCCUUUAUCAUCAUUUCACAAGUAAGUUUUUCAUAUAUAAAGUUGGACUAGUACCAGUGGCUUGUGUUAUAGAACAAGCAAAGAGGAAAAGCCACAGCAAUCAGAAGAGAAAAGAGGUUGAGUUUGCAAGUUGACUAUAUAUAUCAUGGCUGAAACCACCGGGAAGAGUUGUUGCGGAGACAAUAAAUGCGUCGAAGGUGCUACUUUCAGCACAACUGAAGUUAAAACCGAUGGUGUCAUCUGCAACUGUGGGGAAGGAUGGAGUUGUAUACUUACCAAAACUGAAGGUCCAGAUGCCGGUAAGGUUUUCCUUAAGUGCGGUGAAGGCUGUUCAUGUGAGAUUGGGUCCUCUACUACUGGGAAGUGCACUAUAACAAAAGGUAUGACCGGUGCUUCAUGCAAAUGUGGAGAAGGCUGGAGCUGUGAAAUCAUCAAGACUGAAGGCCCGAAUGUUGGUAAGGCCUUUGCCGAAUGCGGUGAUGGUGGCUGCGUCACAGUUGCUUAGGCUGAGUCGUAAACGGAAUCUAGCAUGUGUGUACUAAAUAAAGUUGUGAUGGAGUGAGCACUUAUAUUUUAUAUGAUUGAUGUAAUAGAGCUUGGGUGAAGUAUGUAUGGUUGUGUGGCUUUCUUUUGUAUCGAGUGUGCAAGCCUAAAAAUUAAUCUUUGCUGGCCGUAGUUGUUCUUCACUACCUCACUUUCAGUAAAAGUGAUACUUAAAUUUUUUUUUUUCA
This is an RNA transcript of Papaver somniferum (opium poppy), 6344 nucleotides long. It is a transcript of the gene named ABC transporter C family member 2-like, with no coding region annotated. The record is from RefSeq and is a predicted model, not a curated record. NCBI's taxonomy places the organism in Eukaryota, Viridiplantae, Streptophyta, Magnoliopsida, Ranunculales, Papaveraceae. The transcript is spliced from 30 exons.